GGGAUUUUGCCAUGUUACUCAAGCUGGUCUCGAACUCCUGGGCUCAAGCGAUCCGCCCGCCUCAGCCUUCCAAAGUGCUGGGAUUACAGGCAUGAACCACCAUGCCCCACAAAUUCUACAUUUUGAAAAUGCUCUCUAGACUGGUAAUAACAACAACAAAGAUGGAUCUAAUCAUAAAGCUGAAAGUGGAGCUCUAAUAGAAGCUGCAAAAUCAAAGAUACAUCAGUACAAAGUACGAGCUUAUAUCCAAAUGAAGUCUCUGAAAGCAUGUAAAAGGGAAAUCAAGUCAGUCAUGAAUACAGCUGGAAAUUCUGCACCCUCUCUCUUUCUUAAAAGCAAUUUUGAGUACUUAAGAGGUAAUUAUCGAAAAGCCGUGAAGCUAUUAAAUAGUUCAAACAUUGCUGAGCAUCCAGGAUUCAUGAAAACAGGUGAAUGCUUGAGAUGCAUGUUCUGGAAUAACCUUGGUUGCAUCCAUUUUGCCAUGAGCAAGCACAAUUUGGGAAUAUUCUACUUUAAAAAGGCUCUGCAGGAGAAUGACAAUGUCUGUGCACAGCUCAGUGCAGGUAGCACUGAUCCAGGUAAAAAAUUUUCAGGAAGACCCAUGUGUACGUUACUAACCAAUAAGAGAUAUGAGUUGCUGUAUAACUGUGGAAUUCAGCUUCUUCACAUUGGAAGGCCUCUUGCUGCCUUCGAAUGUCUGAUUGAAGCUGUUCAGGUUU
RNAcentral lists this small RNA (719 nucleotides) under Pongo abelii (Sumatran orangutan). Its description in RNAcentral is "processed transcript". The record is from RNAcentral. Lineage: Eukaryota; Metazoa; Chordata; Mammalia; Primates; Hominidae.